Molecule: long non-coding RNA, 318 nt
Filed under: Phaseolus vulgaris (common bean)
Lineage: Eukaryota; Viridiplantae; Streptophyta; Magnoliopsida; Fabales; Fabaceae
Description: long non-coding RNA (PVUL_LNC001294)
Source: RNAcentral
GAGGCAAUACUUCUUUCAGUGCUUCUCUCAUAUUGCCAAAGUUGGACUCUAGUAAGAAUCUACAAACAUCUGAUGACCUGUGUGCACCUCUAUCUACAAACAACAAAACUGAAAACAUGGAAAGGGACAGAGAAUUAUGGAGCCGCCCUACCAAUACGCAAGUGAUAAAAGAUCAAACUGAAGCUCAACCUACCAAUACGCAAGUGAUAAAAGAUCAUACUGCAGCUCAACCUACCAAUAAACAAGUGAUAAAAGAUGUUACUGAAAAUCAGCAUGAUGUGGCACCUAAUAAGACAGGCAGAGGAGCUUCAUGGCUGC